UACGGAGGGUGCAAGCGUUGUUCGGAAUUACUGGGCGUAAAGCGCGCGUAGGCGGUGAUCUUUGUCAGAGGUGAAAGCCCGGGGCUCAACUCCGGAAUUGCCUUUGAAACGGGAUCGCUAGAGUCCGAGAGAGGAUGGCGGAAUUCCUAGUGUAGAGGUGAAAUUCGUAGAUAUUAGGAAGAACACCGGUGGCGAAGGCGGCCAUCUGGCUCGGUACUGACGCUCAGGCGCGAAAGCGUGGGGAGCAAACAGG
Molecule: ribosomal RNA, 253 nt
Filed under: uncultured bacterium
Lineage: Bacteria
Description: partial 16S ribosomal RNA
Rfam family: Bacterial small subunit ribosomal RNA
Source: RNAcentral